This 305-nucleotide ribosomal RNA is filed under the name uncultured bacterium. Its description in RNAcentral is "bacterial SSU rRNA". It matches the Rfam family "Bacterial small subunit ribosomal RNA", at positions 333 to 652 of the family's 1533-position model. The record is from RNAcentral.
GGCAUCCUACGUGAGUCAUCAGUUUGGAAUAUUGGGCAAUGGGCUCAAGCCUGACCCAGCAACGCCGCGUGAAGGAAGAAGGCUUUCGGGUUGUAAACUUCUUUUCUCAGGGACGAAGCAAGUGACGGUACCUGAGGAAUAAGCCACGGCUAACUACGUGCCAGCAGCCGCGGUAAUACGUAGGUGGCAAGCGUUAUCCGGAUUUACUGGGUGUAAAGGGCGUGUAGGCGGGAAAGCAAGUCAGAUGUGAAAACCAUGGGCUCAACCUGUGGCCUGCAUUUGAAACUGUUUUUCUUGAGUACUGG